This 451-nucleotide ribosomal RNA is filed under the name uncultured bacterium. RNAcentral describes it as "bacterial SSU rRNA". It matches the Rfam family "Bacterial small subunit ribosomal RNA", at positions 43 to 507 of the family's 1533-position model. The record is from RNAcentral.
CGUGCUUAACACAUGCAAGUCGAACGGUGACCCAGGGCUUGCCCUGGUGAUCAGUGGCGAACGGGUGAGUAACACGUGGGCAACCUGCCCCUGACUUCGGGAUAACUCCUCGAAAGAGGAGCUAAUACCGGAUACGACCACUUCGGACAUCCGAUGGUGGUGGAAAGUUUUUCGGUCAGGGAUGGGCCCGCGGCCUAUCAGCUAGUUGGUGGGGUAAUGGCCUACCAAGGCGACGACGGGUAGCCGGCCUGAGAGGGCGACCGGCCACACUGGGACUGAGACACGGCCCAGACUCCUACGGGAGGCAGCAGUGGGGAAUAUUGCGCAAUGGGCGAAAGCCUGACGCAGCGACGCCGCGUGAGGGAUGAAGGCCUUCGGGUUGUAAACCUCUUUCAGCAGGGACGAAGCGAAAGUGACGGUACCUGCAGAAGAAGCACCGGCUAACUACGUG